UGAAUACGAGACGCUAAGGCGUCGAAGUAGUGUAUGUCAUACUUCCAAGAAAAGCUUGCACUGUCAUAGAUAAAAAACGCCUGUACCAUAACCGACACAGGUGGGUAGGUAGAGUAUACUAAGGGGCGCGAGAUAACUCUCUCUAAGGAACUCGGCAAAAUAACUCCGUAACUUCGGGAGAAGGAGUGCCUUAUUCGUAAGGUUGCAAUAACAAGAUCCAAGCAACUGUUUAUCAAAAACACAGGUCUCCGCUAAGUCGUAAGACGAUGUAUGGGGGCUGACGCCUGCCCAGUGCCAGAAGGUUAAAGAAGUUGGUUAGCAAUUGCGAAGCUGAUAACUGAAGCCCUGGUGAACGGCGGCCGUAACAAUAACGGUCCUAAGGUAGCGAAAUUCCUUGUCGGGUAAGUUCCGACCCGCACGAAAGGCGUAAUGAUUUGGAUACUGUCUCGGAGAGGGGCUCGGUGAAAUAGACUUGUCUGUGAAGAUGCGGACUACCUGCACCAGGACAGAAAGACCCUAUGAAGCUUUACUGUAACUUGAAAUUGAAAUUGGACUUUAUUUGCGCAGUAUAGGUGGGAGGCGUUGAUUAUAAUCUUGUGGGAUUAUUGGAGCCAUCAGUGAGAUACCACUCUUGUAAUGUUAGAUUUCUAACUUUGAAUCAUUAUCUGGUCAAAGAACAGUUUCAGGCGGGCAGUUUGACUGGGGCGGUCGCCUCCUAAACGGUAACGGAGGCGUACAAAGGUUUCCUCUGAACGGUUAGAAAUCGUAUCUAGAGUGUAAAGGCAUAAGGAAGCUUGACUGUGAGACCUACAAGUCGAGCAGGGACGAAAGUCGGUCUUAGUGAUCUGACGGUACUGAGUGGAAAGGCCGUCACUCAACGGAUAAAAGUUACUCUAGGAUAACAGGCUGAUCUCCCCCAAGAGUUCACAUCGACGGGGAGGUUUGGCACCUCGAUGUCGGCUCAUCGCAUCCUGGGGCGGUAGUACGUCCCAAGGGUUGGGCUGUUCGCCCAUGAAAGCGGUACGCGAGCUGGGUUCAGAACGUCGUGAGACAGUUCGGUCCAUAUCCGGUGUAGGCGUUAGAAUAUUGAGAGGAGCCUUCUUUAGUACGAGAGGACCGAGAAGGACAUACCUCUGGUGUACCAGUUAUCGUGCCAACGGUAAACGCUGGGUAGCUAUGUAUGGAGUGGAUAACCGCUGAAAGCAUCUAAGUGGGAAGCCCACCUCAAGAUAAG
RNAcentral lists this ribosomal RNA (1234 nucleotides) under metagenome. RNAcentral's name for it is "bacterial LSU rRNA". It matches the Rfam family "Bacterial large subunit ribosomal RNA", at positions 1564 to 2808 of the family's 2925-position model. The record is from RNAcentral.